UUGGAAAAGGUUUUUUAGCUGCUGGA
Molecule: non-coding RNA, 26 nt
Filed under: Rattus norvegicus (Norway rat)
Lineage: Eukaryota; Metazoa; Chordata; Mammalia; Rodentia; Muridae
Source: RNAcentral